This 72-nucleotide transfer RNA is filed under the name Trialeurodes vaporariorum (greenhouse whitefly). RNAcentral's name for it is "tRNA-Tyr for anticodon AUA". It matches the Rfam family "tRNA". Rfam says of the family: Transfer RNA (tRNA) molecules are approximately 80 nucleotides in length. Their secondary structure includes four short double-helical elements and three loops (D, anti-codon, and T loops). Further hydrogen bonds mediate the characteristic L-shaped molecular structure. tRNAs have two regions of fundamental functional importance: the anti-codon, which is responsible for specific mRNA codon recognition, and the 3' end, to which the tRNAs corresponding amino acid is attached (by aminoacyl-tRNA synthetases). tRNAs cope with the degeneracy of the genetic code in two manners: having more than one tRNA (with a specific anti-codon) for a particular amino acid; and 'wobble' base-pairing, i.e. permitting non-standard base-pairing at the 3rd anti-codon position. Lineage: Eukaryota; Metazoa; Arthropoda; Insecta; Hemiptera; Aleyrodidae. The record is from RNAcentral.
GCCUCCGUGGUCUGGUGGUCAGCGCAACUGGCCAUAACCCAGAGGUCCCGGGUUCGAAUCCCGGCCGAGGUG